AAUUGUGUGUGGAGAAAGGCUGGCAGCUUUACAGAGGAAAUUUCAGAACCUGUACAUAAGGUCAGAAUAAGAAACUGCCUUAACUUCCCUUCCCCCAAACAACUGUUUUUACUGAGUCUCAUUAAAUGGCCCUAAGUGUAGGACAUUAAAUGUAUUUAUGGUAGAGUGAGAGUUUUGUUCUGAGUCACUGGUGCAUCAAGAGUUGCUUCAUAACCUUCUUCUGGUUGCCUAACACAGUGAGACAGGCUCGAGAGGCACGGACUCCGAUGUCUCGUGGGAGCAGUCCUUGAACCCGAUUGUCAGAGAUCUGAAGGUGCCUAAUCUCCUGCAGAACUGAGCAGAACUUCAUGUUCCUAAGUGGGAUUCAUGUCUUCUUUAAAAGAAGCAGGGAAGAUCUACCCUGCAAAAUGAGAAAGUGGUAUUACUUCCACACUGAGAAGCUGGCUGUUACCUCAUAUAUCUGCCACUUUCCCAUUUAA
RNAcentral lists this long non-coding RNA (479 nucleotides) under Cyanistes caeruleus (blue tit). RNAcentral describes it as "lncRNA (ENSCCEG00000009903.1)". Lineage: Eukaryota; Metazoa; Chordata; Aves; Passeriformes; Paridae. The record is from RNAcentral.